CCUACGGGAGGCAGCAGUGAGGAAUAUUGGUCAAUGGGCGCGAGCCUGAACCAGCCAAGUAGCGUGAAGGAUGACUGCCCUACGGGUUGUACACUUCUUUUAUAAGGGAAUAAAGUGAGGCACGUGUGCCUUUUUGUCUGUACUUUAUGAAUAAGGAUCGGCUAACUCCGUGCCAGCAGCCGCGGUAAUCCGGAGGAUCCGAGCGUUAUCCGGAUUUAUUGGGUUUAAAGGGAGCGUAGAUGGGUUGAUAAGUCAGGUGUGAAAGUUUGCGGCUCAACCGUACAAUUGCCAUGGAUACUGGCAGUCUUGAGUACAGUUGAGGUAGGCGGAAUGCGUGGUGUAGCGGUGAAAUGCUUAGAUAUCACGAAGAACACCGAUUGCGAAGGCAGCUUACUAAACUGCCACUGACAUUGAUGCUCGAAAGUGUGGGUAGCAAACAGGAUUAGAUACCCUAGUAGUC
Molecule: ribosomal RNA, 460 nt
Filed under: uncultured bacterium
Lineage: Bacteria
Description: partial 16S ribosomal RNA
Rfam family: Bacterial small subunit ribosomal RNA
Source: RNAcentral